Molecule: ribosomal RNA, 241 nt
Filed under: uncultured fungus
Lineage: Eukaryota; Fungi
Description: partial small subunit ribosomal RNA
Rfam family: Eukaryotic small subunit ribosomal RNA
Source: RNAcentral
CGAUAACGAACGAGACCUUAACCUGCUAAAUAGCCCGUAUUGCUUUGGCAGUACGCUGGCUUCUUAGAGGGACUAUCGGCUCAAGCCGAUGGAAGUUCGAGGCAAUAACAGGUCUGUGAUGCCCUUAGAUGUUCUGGGCCGCACGUGCGCUACACUGACAGAGCCAGCGAGUUCUCCCUUGGCCGAAAGACCUGGGUAAUCUUGUUAAACUCUGUCGUGCUGGGGAUAGAGCAUUGCAAUC